Long non-coding RNA from Symphalangus syndactylus (siamang), 779 nucleotides. RefSeq lists it as uncharacterized. NCBI's taxonomy places the organism in Eukaryota, Metazoa, Chordata, Mammalia, Primates, Hylobatidae. The record is from RefSeq and is a predicted model, not a curated record.
GUAGAGACGGGGUUUCACCAUGUUAGCCAGGAUGGUCUCCAUCUCUUGACCUCGUGAUCCACCCGCCUCGGCCUCUCAAAGUGCUGGGAUUACAGGCGUGAGCCACUGCGCCCGGCCACUGGGACUCUUUCUUGUUAGGUACUUCAGGGAGACUGUGGAGCACACCCGACUUAACCCACCCCCGGGACAAGGAAGCAGGAAGAUCAUCCUCCAACUCCCAUACCACUGGCUGCGGACUGCUGGCAAGGCUUCAGCUCUGUGGCUCUUCUGCUGUGCUCUGCCUGAAGGCCAAGAGGAAGCCCUCAGGGGUGGAGCUGCAGAGGCUCGAGGUGGAGUAGAGCGGGGAUAUAGGCAGUCACUAUUAGCCUUUGGACCUAUGUGCUCCUUCACAGCCACAGGAAGCAGGAAACUGCACUUGCCGCAUCAAGCUUCCUCCCGUGCCAAGGUCUUUCAAGUAAAGGUGCCUCAUCUUAAGAUCCAGAAAAUAAUCAGCUAAGAGCCAGGCACCCUUUUAAGGUCUGAUAAGAAACAUUUUACAACCUGCUCUCUCUCUGAAGUCAACUAUCUGAGAGAUUCCUCUGCACAAUAAAAGUUGGCCUCCACAACUCUUUAUCUUAACCUGAACAUUCCUUUCCACUGAUCCCAGGUCUUCCGAAAAACUCAACAAAUUGUCAACCAGAAAAUGUUUAAAUUUGCCUAUAGCCCAGAAGCCCCUGCUUUGAGUUGUCCCGCCUUUCUGGACCAAACCAAUGCAUUUCUUAAAUGUACUUUAUUGAUGC